GGCCUCCCGUGCACUUGACUCUGCCUACCCAAAGAUCAACAUCACGAAGGCAAAAAAUGCGUCGAGAUGAGCGAGUGCCACGCUGGGCCUAUGAUUUAGAAGAGAA
Long non-coding RNA from Melitaea cinxia (Glanville fritillary), 106 nucleotides. RefSeq lists it as uncharacterized. NCBI's taxonomy places the organism in Eukaryota, Metazoa, Arthropoda, Insecta, Lepidoptera, Nymphalidae. The transcript is spliced from 2 exons. The record is from RefSeq and is a predicted model, not a curated record.